GGAGGCAGCAGUGGGGAAUCUUGCGCAAUGGGGGAAACCCUGACGCAGCAACGCCGCGUGGGUGAUGAAGGCCUUCGGGUCGUAAAGCCCUGUCAGGUGGGAAGAAACGUGCUGAUAUGAAUAAUAUCAGCAUUUGACGGUACCACCGGAGGAAGCACCGGCUAACUCCGUGCCAGCAGCCGCGGUAAUACGGAGGGUGCGAGCGUUGUUCGGAAUUAUUGGGCGUAAAGCGCGUGUAGGCGGUCAGGUAAGUCAGAUGUGAAAGCCUUCCGCUUAACGGAAGAAGUGCAUUUGAAACUGCUUGGCUAGAGUACGGGAGAGGAGAGUGGAAUUCCCGGUGUAGAGGUGAAAUUCGUAGAUAUCGGGAGGAACACCAGUGGCGAAGGCGGCUCUCUGGUCCGAUACUGACGCUGAGACGCGAAAGCGUGGGGAGCAAACAGGAUUAGAUACCCUGGUAGUCCACGCCGUAAACGAUGGGCACUAGGUGUAGGAGGUAUUGACCCCUUCUGUGCCGAAGUUAACGCAUUAAGUGCCCCGCCUGGGGAGUACGGCCGCAAGGCUAAAACUCAAAUGAAUUGACG
This 581-nucleotide ribosomal RNA is filed under the name uncultured bacterium. RNAcentral's name for it is "bacterial SSU rRNA". It matches the Rfam family "Bacterial small subunit ribosomal RNA", at positions 344 to 915 of the family's 1533-position model. The record is from RNAcentral.